Molecule: ribosomal RNA, 1449 nt
Filed under: uncultured organism
Description: SSU rRNA
Rfam family: Bacterial small subunit ribosomal RNA
Source: RNAcentral
GACGAACGCUGGCGGCGUGCUUAACACAUGCAAGUCGAACGGAAAGGCCCUGCUUUUGUGGGGUGCUCGAGUGGCGAACGGGUGAGUAACACGUGAGUAACCUGCCCUUGACUUUGGGAUAACUUCAGGAAACUGGGGCUAAUACCGGAUAGGAGCUCCUGCUGCAUGGUGGGGGUUGGAAAGUUUCGGCGGUUGGGGAUGGACUCGCGGCUUAUCAGCUUGUUGGUGGGGUAGUGGCUUACCAAGGCUUUGACGGGUAGCCGGCCUGAGAGGGUGACCGGCCACAUUGGGACUGAGAUACGGCCCUGACUCCUACGGGAGGCAGCAGUGGGGAAUAUUGCACAAUGGGCGGAAGCCUGAUGCAGCAACGCCGCGUGCGGGAUGACGGCCUUCGGGUUGUAAACCGCUUUCGCCUGUGACGAAGCGUGAGUGACGGUAAUGGGUAAAGAAGCACCGGCUAACUACGUGCCAGCAGCCGCGGUGAUACGUAGGGUGCGAGCGUUGUCCGGAUUUAUUGGGCGUAAAGGGCUCGUAGGUGGUUGAUCGCGUCGGAAGUGUAAUCUUGGGGCUUAACCCUGAGCGUGCUUUCGAUACGGGUUGACUUGAGGAAGGUAGGGGGGAAUGGAAUUCCUGGUGGAGCGGUGGAAUGCGCAGAUAUCAGGAGGAACACCAGUGGCGAAGGCGGUUCUCUGGGCCUUUCCUGACGCUGAGGAGCGAAAGCGUGGGGAGCGAACAGGCUUAGAUACCCUGGUAGUCCACGCUGUAAACGGUGGGUACUAGGUGUGGGGUCCAUUCCACGGGUUCCGUGCCGUAGCUAACGCUUUAAGUACCCCGCCUGGGGAGUACGGCCGCAAGGCUAAAACUCAAAGGAAUUGACGGGGCCCCGCACAAGCGGCGGAGCAUGCGGAUUAAUUCGAUGCAACGCGUAGAACCUUACCUGGGUUUGACAUGGAUCGGGAGCGCUCAGAGAUGGGUGUGCCUCUUUUGGGGUCGGUUCACAGGUGGUGCAUGGCUGUCGUCAGCUCGUGUCGUGAGAUGUUGGGUUAAGUCCCGCAACGAGCGCAACCCUUGUUCACUGUUGCCAGCACGUUAUGGUGGGGACUCAGUGGAGACCGCCGGGGUCAACUCGGAGGAAGGUGGGGAUGACGUCAAGUCAUCAUGCCCCUUAUGUCCAGGGCUUCACGCAUGCUACAAUGGCUGGUACAGAGAGUGGCGAGCCUGUGAGGGUGAGCGAAUCUCGGAAAGCCGGUCUCAGUUCGGAUUGGGGUCUGCAACUCGACCUCAUGAAGUCGGAGUCGCUAGUAAUCGCAGAUCAGCAACGCUGCGGUGAAUACGUUCCCGGGGCUUGUACACACCGCCCGUCAAGUCAUGAAAGUUGGUAACACCCGAAGCCGGUGGCCUAACCGAUGUGGGGGAGCCGUCGAAGGUGGGACUGGUGAUUAGGACUAA